CCUACGGGAGGCAGCAGUGAGGAAUAUUGGUCAAUGGGCGGGAGCCUGAACCAGCCAAGUAGCGUGAAGGAAGAAUGUACAACGUGUUGUAAACUUCUUUUAUAAAGGAAUAAAGGCAGGCACUUGUGCCUGUUUGUGGGUACUUUAUGAAUAAGGAUCGGCUAACUCCGUGCCAGCAGCCGCGGUAAUACGGAGGAUCCGAGCGUUAUCCGGAUUUAUUGGGUUUAAAGGGGGCGUAGAGGGGUUGUUAAGUCAGUUGUGAAAGGUUGCGGCGCAACCGUAAAAGUGCCAUUGAUACUGGCAGGCUUGAGUACAGUUGAGGUACGCGGAAUGCGUGGUGUAGCGGUGAAAUGCUUAGAUAUCGCGAAGAACCCCGAUUGCGAAGGCAGCUUACUAAACUGCCACUGACGUUGAUGCUCGAAAGUGUGGGUAUCAAACAGGAUUAGAUACCCCUGUAGUC
RNAcentral lists this ribosomal RNA (460 nucleotides) under uncultured bacterium. RNAcentral describes it as "partial 16S ribosomal RNA". It matches the Rfam family "Bacterial small subunit ribosomal RNA", at positions 338 to 795 of the family's 1533-position model. The record is from RNAcentral.